Molecule: ribosomal RNA, 833 nt
Filed under: uncultured Verrucomicrobiota bacterium
Lineage: Bacteria; Pseudomonadati; Verrucomicrobiota
Description: bacterial SSU rRNA
Rfam family: Bacterial small subunit ribosomal RNA
Source: RNAcentral
UAGAGGGUAGCAAUAUUCUCUAGUCGGAGUGGCGCAAGGGUGCGUAACACGUGGGUAAUCUGCCGUGAAGAUUGGGAUAACUCGCUGAAAGGCGAGCUAAUACCGGAUGUGACUGUUGGGAGGCAUCUCCUGACAUUCGAAGCUGGGGACCGCAAGGCCUGGCGCUUCACGAUGAGCCCGCGGCCUAUCAGCUAGUUGGUGAGGUAACGGCUCACCAAGGCUAAGACGGGUAGCUGGUCUGAGAGGACGACCAGCCACACUGGAACUGAGACACGGUCCAGACACCUACGGGUGGCAGCAGUCGAGAAUUUUUCACAAUGGGCGCAAGCCUGAUGGAGCGACGCCGCGUGGGGGAUGAAGGGUUUCGAUCCGUAAACCCCUGUCAUUUGCGAACAAACCUUAUGGAAUAACACUUCAUGAGCUGAUUGUAGUGAAAGAGGAAGGGACGGCUAACUCUGUGCCAGCAGCCGCGGUAAUACAGAGGUCCCAAGCGUUGUUCGGAUUCACUGGGCGUAAAGGGUGCGUAGGUGGCCAGGUAAGUUUGGUGUGAAAGCUCGGAGCUCAACUCCGAAAUGGCAUUGAAUACUAUCUGGCUGGAGGGUCGGAGGGGAGACUGGAAUUCUCGGUGUAGCAGUGAAAUGCGUAGAUAUCGAGAGGAACACCAGUGGCGAAGGCGAGUCUCUGGACGACACCUGACACUGAGGCACGAAAGCUAGGGGAGCAAACAGGAUUAGAUACCCUGGUAGUCCUAGCUGUAAACGGUGCACGUUUGCUGUAAGAGGAAUCGACCCCUUUUGUGGCGAAGCUAACGCGCUAAACGUGCCGCCUGGGGA